This 485-nucleotide ribosomal RNA is filed under the name uncultured bacterium. RNAcentral describes it as "partial 16S ribosomal RNA". It matches the Rfam family "Bacterial small subunit ribosomal RNA", at positions 28 to 506 of the family's 1533-position model. The record is from RNAcentral.
GACGAACGCUGGCGGCGUGCUUAACACAUGCAAGUCGAACGCUGAAGGCCUGGCUUUUGUUGGGUUGGAUGAGUGGCGAACGGGUGAGUAACACGUGAGUAACCUGCCCUCUUCUUUGGGAUAACGCCCGGAAACGGGUGCUAAUACUGGAUAUUCACUGAUCUUCGCAUGGGGGUUGGUGGAAAGGUUUGUUCUGGUGGGGGAUGGGCUCGCGGCCUAUCAGCUUGUUGGUGGGGUGAUGGCCUACCAAGGCUUUGACGGAUGGCCGGCCGGGGAGGGUGACCGGUCACGUGGGGACUGAGAUACGGCCCAGACUGCGACGGGAGGCAGCAGUGGGGAAUAUUGCACAAUGGGCGAAAGCCUGAUGCAGCGACGCAGCGUGAGGGAUGGAGGCCGUCGGGUUGUAAACCUCUUUCGCUCAUGGUCAAGCCGCAACUGUGGGUUGUGGUGAGGGUAGUGGGUAAAGAAGCGCCGGCUAACUACGU